AAAUGCACAUAUUGUGAGCUCGAUGAGUAGGGCGGGACACGUGGUAUCCUGUCUGAAUAUGGGGGGACCAUCCUCCAAGGCUAAAUACUCCUGACUGACCGAUAGUGAACCAGUACCGUGAGGGAAAGGCGAAAAGAACCCCGGCGAGGGGAGUGAAAAAGAACCUGAAACCGUGUACGUACAAGCAGUGGGAGCCUCUUAAUGGGGUGACUGCGUACCUUUUGUAUAAUGGGUCAGCGACUUAUAUUCUGUAGCAAGGUUAACCGAAUAGGGGAGCCGAAGGGAAACCGAGUCUUAACUGGGCGUUAAGUUGCAGGGUAUAGACCCGAAACCCGGUGAUCUAGCCAUGGGCAGGUUGAAGGUUGGGUAACACUAACUGGAGGACCGAACCGACUAAUGUUGAAAAAUUAGCGGAUGACUUGUGGCUGGGGGUGAAAGGCCAAUCAAACCGGGAGAUAGCUGGUUCUCCCCGAAAGCUAUUUAGGUAGCGCCUCGUGAAUUCAUCUCCGGGGGUAGAGCACUGUUUCGGCAAGGGGGUCAUCCCGACUUACCAACCCGAUGCAAACUGCGAAUACCGGAGAAUGUUAUCACGGGAGACACACGGCGGGUGCUAACGUCCGUCGUGAAGAGGGAAACAACCCAGACCGCCAGCUAAGGUCCCAAAGUCAUGGUUAAGUGGGAAACGAUGUGGGAAGGCCCAGACAGCCAGGAUGUUGGCUUAGAAGCAGCCAUCAUUUAAAGAAAGCGUAAUAGCUCACUGGUCGAGUCGGCCUGCGCGGAAGAUGUAACGGGGCUAAACCAUGCACCGAAGCUGCGGCAGCGACACUAUGUGUUGUUGGGUAGGGGAGCGUUCUGUAAGCCUGUGAAGGUGGCCUGUGAGGGUUGCUGGAGGUAUCAGAAGUGCGAAUGCUGACAUAAGUAACGAUAAAGCGGGUGAAAAGCCCGCUCGCCGGAAGACCAAGGGUUCCUGUCCAACGUUAAUCGGGGCAGGGUGAGUCGACCCCUAAGGCGAGGCCGAAAGGCGUAGUCGAUGGGAAACAGGUUAAUAUUCCUGUACUUGGUGUUACUGCGAAGGGGGGACGGAGAAGGCUAUGUUGGCCGGGCGACGGUUGUCCCGGUUUAAGCGUGUAGGCUGGUUUUCCAGGCAAAUCCGGAAAACCAAGGCUGAGGCGUGAUGACGAGGCACUACGGUGCUGAAGCGACAAAUGCCCUGCUUCCAGGAAAAGCCUCUAAGCAUCAGGUAACAUCAAAUCGUACCCCAAACCGACACAGGUGGUCAGGUAGAGAAUACCAAGGCGCUUGAGAGAACUCGGGUGAAGGAACUAGGCAAAAUGGUGCCGUAACUUCGGGAGAAGGCACGCUGAUAUGUAGGUGAAGCGACUUGCUCGUGGAGCUGAAAUCAGUCGAAGAUACCAGCUGGCUGCAACUGUUUAUUAAAAACACAGCACUGUGCAAACACGAAAGUGGACGUAUACGGUGUGACGCCUGCCCGGUGCCGGAAG
RNAcentral lists this ribosomal RNA (1502 nucleotides) under Escherichia coli. RNAcentral's name for it is "partial 23S ribosomal RNA". It matches the Rfam family "Bacterial large subunit ribosomal RNA", at positions 386 to 1875 of the family's 2925-position model. Lineage: Bacteria; Pseudomonadati; Pseudomonadota; Gammaproteobacteria; Enterobacterales; Enterobacteriaceae. The record is from RNAcentral.